Molecule: ribosomal RNA, 2007 nt
Filed under: Triticum aestivum (bread wheat)
Lineage: Eukaryota; Viridiplantae; Streptophyta; Magnoliopsida; Poales; Poaceae
Description: partial small subunit ribosomal RNA
Source: RNAcentral
GUCGCUCGGGGGUACAGCCCCGAUCUCCUCAAUUUCUUCUUCGACGUCGGGAACGACAAGCUGCUGAGCCUGUUCCCGCCGCAGUCGUGGGCUCAAGGGAAGGGCCUCCUGUGUACGCUAAGGAUACACCACAGACUACCACCUUGUUAUUUAAAUGACUCAUCUAGCAAACCACUCAUAUUGUAGUUACUCGUACCGAAAGUAUUCGCUUCAUGACCCGGUCUUCUCGGUCUAUGGCCACUCUUCCGUAUGGCUACACGUAGACUUCUGUACGUAUAUAAACCAGGGUAACCUUUGCCUCGUUCGUCGCAACAAGUCUCUCGAUAAAAGUAUGGUCAAGUAGCUUAAGACCGGAACUUCUUCUAUUUGUAUAAACUCUUCCUCUUUUCCGUUGUUUAAGAAUUACUCUACUCUUGCAAUACACUUCGUUCAACGAUAGGACCAAAUCAACUUAAGGUCCCACGUAAAAUGUACGGGCUAAGACCUGUUUAUUCGUAACGGGAACUUAUGUACCUACCACCGAGAAAUCGUCUGCAAUAUUCUCAGUUCUUUAGUUAUGGUCUCGGUCAAGAACGCGUAUACGAUGACUUUCAUAAUGAACCGGACUUCAUGAACGUACUUCAUUCUGUAGAUCACGUAUCUCUAGAUUUCGGUCGCUUAUAUGACCAUUUGGAGUUCCCUCUCCGUUUUUAAUGUCUGAAACCACAUUCACGACCAAACCUGUUAUGUUACCGAUACACACGAUGGAAACAUCCUUGGCACUGUAUAUACAGUGGACUCUCUUAAGCAUUACUCUUGAUGAGAAUACGACGACUAUAAACCUCAGAACCUGAUUGCUAUAACCUCACACGAUGACCAUUUAAAGGUAUAUUACAGUUACUUCCGGGUCGGUUAGAGUACGACGUCUAUGAGCUACUAGGUAGUGGUCGUGGUGGUCUUCUACGGAUAUGUGGUCUUAAAACAAGGAAGUAUUUACUAACGAACGCCUUUAUACGACUACGUUCCGGAUGUACGCUCGUCGAAAACAGUGUGGGUAAGUAGUUCUCCAUACUCGUUUGACCACACCUGAACCGUCGUAUACAGUCCCCACAACAAUUGGGUUGUCUUUCUAACUUCGUUUAUCGCCUCUACGAACGACAAGUAAUAAUGGAGGACAAAUUACCGAGACUUCCUGGAACCCUAGUAUACUUCUGUAAGAUGUCCCUUCUUAGUAGAAAGUCAAAAAGUCCCUUACACAUACAGCCUGUUUCACGGUAUAAACUAUGAAAUAGUUUAUAUUCCUUCUUCAAUUUUCCACUAGCCGGAUCUCUUUUUUAACAAGUACAACAACUCUUCGACGUAACAGCACGCUUACCCCUUUGUCUUUAGCGAUAGGCACACAGACCUAGUAAGUAGUGCCCGUUGGUUAAGGAUUAUAGACCACUUCCCAACGUUCGACUUCCCUACGGGUCGGACCUGCUUUAGUUAUAGCUGUAAGGUUCGUUCGCCCAUCCGGUCAAGGCCCUCGUCAAAUGGCACGAAGGUCCCUGAAGGUACCCUACGAUGAUGUAUCGUUUCGUUCUGGAGAUGUAGCAGGUCAGGACUUUUGUUACAUAUUUCACAUUCAAUACAAGGCAAACACGGCAGUUACAGGUACUACUUUCGAUUCAGUACCAAAGGUGCGGAGCGCUGGGGUAUUGAAGCUGUACGAAGUCUAGUGUUACGUCAGGACGAUGGUAACUGUAACUAAGGUAAAGAAGAGCUACGCUAGUUAGUUUGAACAUCGACUUUGUAUUGAACUAACAACAAACAUUCCACCAUUCCUUUUACUUCGCUAAGAUUACUAAGUACACACAUCUAUCUAUGAGAAGUGUGUACCACGUCCAAAUCAGCUCCGACGAGUUAAAGACAACAUCUACUCUUCUAACGUGCACACACGCGAUUAUUCACUGCGGAGAGUUACAUCCAAACAUAAUGAUUACGAAUACAUAUUUUCUGAUAGAUAUUAAUUGAGGCGACCAUGACAUA